This 442-nucleotide ribosomal RNA is filed under the name uncultured bacterium. Its description in RNAcentral is "partial 16S ribosomal RNA". It matches the Rfam family "Bacterial small subunit ribosomal RNA", at positions 338 to 795 of the family's 1533-position model. The record is from RNAcentral.
CCUACGGGGGGCAGCAGUGGGGAAUAUUGGGCAAUGGGCGCAAGCCUGACCCAGCAACGCCGCGUGAAGGAAGAAUGCUUUCGGGUUUUAAACUUCUUUUUUCAGGGGAGAGUAGAAGACGGUACCUGACGGAUAAGCCACGGCUAACUACGUGCCAGCAGCCGCGGUCAUACGUAGGUGGCCAGCGUUGUACGGAUUUACUGGGUGUAAAGGGCGUGUAGCCGGGUUGACAAGUCAGAGGUGAAAUCCUGCGGCUCAACCGCAGAACUGCAUUUGAAACUGUUGAUCUUGAGUACUGGAGAGGCAGACGGAAUUCGUAGUGUAGCGGUGAAAUGCGUAGAGAUUAGGAGGAACACCAGUGGCGAAGGCAGUCUGCUGGACAGCAACUGACGGUGAGGCGCGAAAGCGUGGGGAGCAAACAGGAUUAGAUACCCUUGUAGUC